RNAcentral lists this ribosomal RNA (449 nucleotides) under uncultured bacterium. RNAcentral's name for it is "partial 16S ribosomal RNA". It matches the Rfam family "Bacterial small subunit ribosomal RNA", at positions 338 to 795 of the family's 1533-position model. The record is from RNAcentral.
CCUACGGGGGGCUGCAGUGGGGAAUUUUGGACAAUGGGCGCAAGCCUGAUCCAGCCAUGCCGCGUGCAGGAUGAAGGCCUUCGGGUUGUAAACUGCUUUUGUACGGAACGAAAAGGUGCCUUCUAAUAAAGGGCGCUCAUGACGGUACCGUAAGAAUAAGCACCGGCUAACUACGUGCCAGCAGCCGCGGUAAUACGUAGGGUGCGAGCGUUCGUCGGGAUUGCUGGGGCGAAUUCGUGAGCCGGAGGUUAAAUCCCCGGGCUCAACCUGGGAACUGCCUUUGUGACUGCAAGGCUGGAGUGCGGCAGAGGGGGAUGGAAUUCCGCGUGUAGCAGUGAAAUGCGUAGAUAUGCGGAGGAACACCGAUGGCGAAGGCAAUCCCCUGGGCCUGCACUGACGCUCAUGCACGAAAGCGUGGGGAGCAAACAGGAUUAGAUACCCUAGUAGUC